This 2500-nucleotide long non-coding RNA is filed under the name Musa acuminata (dwarf banana). RNAcentral describes it as "long non-coding RNA (MACU_LNC001542)". Lineage: Eukaryota; Viridiplantae; Streptophyta; Magnoliopsida; Zingiberales; Musaceae. The record is from RNAcentral.
CUUCCUUCCCUCUUAGCAUGCGAGGGUAUUUAUAGGGAAGCUUACUGUGCCUGAUGUGCCCCCUUGCAGGAGCAGGUAGCGUCUGACACUGGCGCUGGCGUGCGAGACCGAGCCUGGGCAGAAUGUUUAAUGUGCCUCGGUCGGCGUUCUGGUCCGUUUGACCAGGUAUUGAGGCGUGAUGCGUCAUCUGGGACAGGUGACGUCAGCCCCAGUCUUGUCGCCAUUAUCUCCCUCAUCAUAUUCCCCCCCUGAAGGGAGCCACACAUCGGCUGUUGUUGUAAGAGGGGUCCGAGGUGUGGCUUCAGCUUUUAGUGCUCGUUCUUGUAGAGCAGCUGCUGGUUCGUUACCGGGGGCGGAGUCCGAAUUUAGCAAAUAAGGAAGGCUGGUCGUGCCGCGGUGAGCUCGGGCAGCAGGGGGUCGAGGAGCACGACGCAGGCGGGCAGGUUGGGCCGGCGAGUCGCAAGUCGGAGAUCGAACUGGAGCGACUCGAGCUAUGGUCUGAGCCGACGAGUCGCAAGUUGGAGAUCGAACUGGGGCGACUCGGGCUAUGGUCUGAGCCGGCGAGUCGUAAGUCGGAGAUCGACCUGGAGCGACUCGGGCUAUGGUCUGAGCCGACGAGUCGCAAGUUGGAGAUCGAACUGGAGCGACUCGGGCUAUGCGCCAAGCCGGUGAGUCGCAAGUCGGAGAUUGAAUUGGAGCGACUCGGGCUAUGCGCCAAGCCGGUGAGUCGCAAGUCGGAGAUCGAACUGGAGCGACUCGGGCUAUGGUCUGGGCCGGUGAGUCGCAAGUCGGAGAUCGAACUGGAGUAACUCGGGCUAUGCGCCAAGGAGCACGACGCAGGCGGGCAGGGCGCGUGGGUGUGUCUUGGGUCAUGGGCAACGUGCGACCGAUGAGCACAUCUCAAUCGGGAAGCCGAGCAGAGGUCGUGGUCUCGGACAACGUGCAGGCGAGGAGCACGACGCAAGCGGGCAGGCCGCGUAGGCAUGUCUCGGGUUAUGGGCCGAGCCGGCGAGUCGCAAGUCGGAGGUCUAACUAGAGCGACUCGGGCUAUGAGCCGAGGAGCACGACACAGGCAGGCAGGCCGCGAGGGCGUGUCUCGGUCGACAUGCAGCCGAGGAGCACAGCUCUGUCGGGCAAGCCGAUCAGAGGUGGUCUCGGGCAACACGUUGCCGAGGAGUAUGACGUAGGCGGGCAUGCCGCGCUGAGGUGGGCUCGUCCGUUUAUGGCCGAGGGAUAUGGCAAAAGCCGGGGGCUCGAUUCUGGCGGGCAGGCCGCGCUGAGGUGAACUCGGCAGCGUAUGGCCGAGAAGCUCGGCGCAGGCGGGCUGCGGCCGAGGGACGUGACCCAGGUGGGCAAGUCGCACGGGCGUGGUCUCGGGCACCAUGCGACCGAGGUGUUCGGCGCAGGUAGACUGUGGCCGCGCGGACGCCGCUCAGGAGGGCAGGCCGCGCUGAGGUGGGCUCGGCGGUGUGGCCGUGAAACUCGGCGCAGACAAGCUGCGGCCGAGGGACACCACUCGGGCGGGCAGGCUGCGACCGAGGUGGACUCGGGUAGUCUACGACCAAGCCGUGCGAAUGCAAAAAAGAGGGGGGUUAGGCCGAAGCUAACCGUGAGCCAAGAGGCAGUCAGGCAAACACUGAGCCUUCUCUUGGCAGAGACUAAGGCAGGGCGGGCCCGAGCGGGCGGCUCUCGUUGCCGUGGUGGUCGUAGGGGGGUGCACCGGAUGAGAAACGAGCGGGAUAAUGGUUCGCACUAUACCCGUCAGCGCUCAGACUUGAUGAGCGAGGUCCUGGAAGGCCUUGAGCGACACGGUCGAGGGGUCGCUGGGGGCGCGCUCGGGCGGAAGCAGACCCGGGUCGUGGACAAACACCAGUGGCGUUCUGCGGUCGCGACGGGGUGUUCGUCUCGAAGAUCUCCAUGCGGGGGACUUUCCCCCGGAGCUCCGAUCAGGAGUGACCCCUCAACUGUGAGCUUGUCUGAGCCAGUUGGAUGAUCCCUCGACUUUCGGGGCCCUCCUUUUAGCGUCAAAGUGUUGCGGGGGGCAACUGUUUGAACCGUGGCCUCGGGGCCAAUGCGGUCAGGUUUGGGUUCAGUCGCCGCGGGGGGUCGUCGGUUUCUCCGGGAAUGAGGCUCCUUGCUUGUGCGUCGAGCGGAGGGCGUCUCGCCUUCGUACCUGCACACAGGUCGGGUCGGGAUGUUUGACCCGACCCCUUCAAUGGUUAAGUUAGUCCCCCUAGGGGUUGUGUGUGUCCGUCCUCUUCCUUCCCUCUUAGCAUGCGAGGGUAUUUAUAGGGAAGCUUACUGUGCCUGAUGUGCCCCCUUGCAGGAGCAGGUAGCGUCUGACACUGGCGCUAGCGUGGCGUGCGAGACCGAGCCUGGGCAGAAUGUUUAAUGUGCCUCGGUCGACGUUCUGGUCCGUUUGACCAGGUACUGAGGCGUGAUGCGUCAUCUGGGACAGGUGACGUCAGCCCCAGUCUUGUCGCCAUUAUUUCCCUCAUCA